This 69-nucleotide transfer RNA is filed under the name Marmota monax (woodchuck). RNAcentral describes it as "tRNA.Ala". It matches the Rfam family "tRNA". Rfam says of the family: Transfer RNA (tRNA) molecules are approximately 80 nucleotides in length. Lineage: Eukaryota; Metazoa; Chordata; Mammalia; Rodentia; Sciuridae. The record is from RNAcentral.
GGGGUUGUGGCUCAGUGGAAGAGCACUCACCUAGCAAGUGUGAGGCAUUGGGUUUGAUCCUUAAUACCA